This 803-nucleotide ribosomal RNA is filed under the name uncultured Bacteroidota bacterium. RNAcentral describes it as "bacterial SSU rRNA". It matches the Rfam family "Bacterial small subunit ribosomal RNA", at positions 66 to 876 of the family's 1533-position model. The record is from RNAcentral. Lineage: Bacteria; Pseudomonadati; Bacteroidota.
GGGUAGAGUUCUUCGGGACUUGAGACCGGCGCACGGGUGCGUAACGCGUAUGCAAUCUACCUUAUACAGGGGAAUAGCCCAGAGAAAUUUGGAUUAAUGCCCCAUAGUGUUAUAGAAUCGCAUGGUUUUAUAACUAAAGUUCCAACGGUAUAAGAUGAGCAUGCGUCCCAUUAGUUAGUUGGUAAGGUAACGGCUUACCAAGACAAUGAUGGGUAGGGGUCCUGAGAGGGAGAUCCCCCACACUGGUACUGAGACACGGACCAGACUCCUACGGGAGGCAGCAGUGAGGAAUAUUGGUCAAUGGGCGCAAGCCUGAACCAGCCAUGCCGCGUGCAGGAAGACGGUCCUAUGGAUUGUAAACUGCUUUUAUACAGGAAGAAACCUCCCUACGUGUAGGGACUUGACGGUACUGUAGGAAUAAGGAUCGGCUAACUCCGUGCCAGCAGCCGCGGUAAUACGGAGGAUCCAAGCGUUAUCCGGAAUCAUUGGGUUUAAAGGGUCCGUAGGCGGCCUUAUAAGUCAGUGGUGAAAUCUCCUAGCUCAACUAGGAAACUGCCAUUGAUACUGUAGGGCUUGAAUUUCUGUGAAGUAACUAGAAUAUGUAGUGUAGCGGUGAAAUGCUUAGAUAUUACAUGGAAUACCAAUUGCGAAGGCAGGUUACUAACAAACGAUUGACGCUGAUGGACGAAAGCGUGGGGAGCGAACAGGAUUAGAUACCCUGGUAGUCCACGCCGUAAACGAUGGAUACUAGCUGUUCGGAGCAAUCUGAGUGGCUAAGCGAAAGUGAUAAGUAUCCCACCUGG